RNAcentral lists this ribosomal RNA (498 nucleotides) under Sungouiella intermedia. RNAcentral's name for it is "eukaryotic LSU rRNA". It matches the Rfam family "Eukaryotic large subunit ribosomal RNA", at positions 103 to 668 of the family's 3401-position model. Lineage: Eukaryota; Fungi; Ascomycota; Pichiomycetes; Serinales; Metschnikowiaceae. The record is from RNAcentral.
CAAAGCUCAAAUUUGAAAUCCUUCGGGAGUUGUAAUUUGUAGGUUGGGAGACCCCGCGGCUAGUGGCACCAAGUCCCUUGGAACAGGGCGCCUUAGAGGGUGAGAGCCCCGUAGGUACCACAACACCGUCUUGUGUCUCCUCUCCAAAGAGUCGAGUUGUUUGGGAAUGCAGCUCAAAGUGGGUGGUAAAUUCCAUCUAAAGCUAAAUACCGGCGAGAGACCGAUAGCGAACAAGUACAGUGAUGGAAAGAUGAAAAGCACUUUGAAAAGAGAGUGAAACAGUACGUGAAAUUGUUGAAAGGGAAGGGCUUGCAAGCAGACACGGCCUUCGUGCCGGGCCAGCAUCGGUUGCUAGGGGUGGAUAAGGAACAAGGAAUGUAGCUCCUCGGAGUAUUAUAGCCUUGCGCGAUACACCCACUGGCGACCGAGGCCUGCGGUAUUCUUUACCUAGGAUGCUGGCGUAAUGGUUGCAAGCCGCCCGUCUUGAAACACGGACCA